This 59-nucleotide microRNA precursor is filed under the name Pristionchus pacificus. RNAcentral describes it as "microRNA ppc-mir-8326 precursor". Lineage: Eukaryota; Metazoa; Nematoda; Chromadorea; Rhabditida; Neodiplogasteridae. The record is from miRBase by way of RNAcentral.
AGGGACAUCGCAAUGAGACUUCUGUUUUUUAUCGAGAUGUCUCACAACGAUGUCCCUGA